Molecule: ribosomal RNA, 487 nt
Filed under: uncultured bacterium
Lineage: Bacteria
Description: bacterial SSU rRNA
Rfam family: Bacterial small subunit ribosomal RNA
Source: RNAcentral
GGCGGCGUGCCUAACACAUUCAAGUACGAACGGAAUGUGAAAUGCUUGCAUUCACAUUAGUGGCGGACGGGUGAGUAACGCGUGAGCAACCUACCUAAAUGAGCGGAACAACUCCUGGAAACGGGAGCUAAUACCGCAUAACAUAGUGAUAUCACAUGGUAACAUUAUCAAAGGAGCAAUCCGCAUAUAGAUGGGCUCGCGUCUGAUUAGCUAGUUGGUGGAGUAACGGAUCACCAAGGCAACGAUCAGUAGCCGGACUGAGAGGUUGACCGGCCACAUUGGAACUGAGAAACGGUCCAGACUCCUACGGGAGGCAGCAGUGGGGAAUAUUGGGCAAUGGGCGAGAGCCUGACCCAGCGAACCGCCGCGUGAAGGAAGAAGGUCUUCGGAUUGUAAACUUCUUUUGUGAGGGAAGAAAGAUGGGGUAGAACUCCAUCGUGACGGUACCUCAAGAAAAAGCCACGGCUAACUACGUGCCAGCAGCAGC